RNAcentral lists this non-coding RNA (453 nucleotides) under Felis catus (domestic cat). RNAcentral's name for it is "Eukaryotic small subunit ribosomal RNA". It matches the Rfam family "Eukaryotic small subunit ribosomal RNA", at positions 623 to 1116 of the family's 1831-position model. The record is from Rfam by way of RNAcentral. Lineage: Eukaryota; Metazoa; Chordata; Mammalia; Carnivora; Felidae.
AAAGUUGCUACUGUUUAACAACUCUGGUUGGGUCUUACUUGGGUAGGUGCUUAGACCAACCGUUGACUGUUGAUGCCCCCUUAAUGUUCUUAACUGAGACUCAAAGCAUUUACUUUGGAAAAAUUAGAGUGUUUGAUGCAGGAUCAAGCUGCUGCAUUCGGCAGAUACACUAAUAGAAUAGGACUUCUGGUUCUGCUUUGUUGGCUUUUGGAACUGAAGUCAUGAUUAAAAAGGAUGGUCCUGGGUAUCGGAAUUAAGUUGCUAGAGGUGAAAUUCGUGGACCUUUGCAAGACGGACCAGAGUGGAAGCAUUUGCCAAGAAUAUUUUUAUUACAGGCGGAGGAAGCUUGAAAAUAAUCAGCUACCAUCACAGUUCCAACCAUAAAGAAUGCUGACCUACCUUGGGGAGGCUUUUCUGCCAAACAGCUUCCAGGAAACCAGUCUUUAGGUUCUA